AUUGAACGCUGGCGGCAGGCUUAACACAUGCAAGUCGAACGGUAGCAGGAGGAAGCUUGCUUUCUUGCUGACGAGUGGCGGACGGGUGAGUAAUGCUUGGGAAUCUGGCUUAUGGAGGGGGAUAACUACGGGAAACUGUAGCUAAUACCGCGUAGUAUCGGAAGAUGAAAGUGCGGGACCGUAAGGCCGCAUGCCAUGAGAUGAGCUCAAGUGGGAUUAGGUAGUUGGUGGGGUAAAGGCCUACCAAGCCUGCGAUCUCUAGCUGGUCUGAGAGGAUGGCCAGCCACACUGGAACUGAGACACGGUCCAGACUCCUACGGGAGGCAGCAGUGGGGAAUAUUGCGCAAUGGGGGAAACCCUGACGCAGCCAUGCCGCGUGAAUGAAGAAGGCCUUCGGGUUGUAAAGUUCUUUCGGUAUUGAGGAAGGUUGAUGUGUUAAUAGUACAUCAAAUUGACGUUAAAUACAGAAGAAGCACCGGCUAACUCCGUGCCAGCAGCCGCGGUAAUACGGAGGGUGCGAGCGUUAAUCGGAAUAACUGGGCGUAAAGGGCACGCAGGCGGUUAUUUAAGUGAGGUGUGAAAGCCCCGGGCUUAACCUGGGAAUUGCAUUUCAGACUGGGUAACUAGAGUACUUUAGGGAGGGGUAGAAUUCCACGUGUAGCGGUGAAAUGCGUAGAGAUGUGGAGGAAUACCGAAGGCGAAGGCAGCCCCUUGGGAAUGUACUGACGCUCAUGUGCGAAAGCGUGGGGAGCAAACAGG
Molecule: ribosomal RNA, 759 nt
Filed under: Haemophilus influenzae
Lineage: Bacteria; Pseudomonadati; Pseudomonadota; Gammaproteobacteria; Pasteurellales; Pasteurellaceae
Description: bacterial SSU rRNA
Rfam family: Bacterial small subunit ribosomal RNA
Source: RNAcentral